CAGGGUGGCAGAAUUUGAGGGAGAAAGAAAUGAACUUAGAGCUGAGCUUGCCAAGGAUAAGAAAAUGAAUGAAGGCAUGCUACAACAAAUGCUUAACCUGCUAAAAGUCCAACCCUCUAGCUCAUCCCAGACUUUGGAGUCCUGCGUCUAGUAUCCAGUGUAGUUUCCCCCCUCAAGUGACAAGUUUAUAUGGUUCUUGGUCUGUUUUCUAUUUUUUUGCUUAUGGUUUGAAGUUUUAUGUUUUGUUUUGUGGACUGCU
RNAcentral lists this long non-coding RNA (259 nucleotides) under Nicotiana benthamiana. RNAcentral's name for it is "long non-coding RNA (NBEN_LNC007757)". Lineage: Eukaryota; Viridiplantae; Streptophyta; Magnoliopsida; Solanales; Solanaceae. The record is from RNAcentral.